GAACGUUAAUGGUUAGCUUAAUACAUGCAAGUUAAAUUAAUUUUGUUUUAGAAAUUAAUAGCGAACGGGUGAGUAAGAUACAGAAAAAAACCUUAAAAAAUUGUUUAAUCCAUGAGAAAAUUUAUUUUGUUUUAAGAAAAGUCUGUAUAAGAUUAGGUAGUUGGUGAAAGAAAAGUUUACCAAGCUUAUGAUCUUUAGUUGGUCUAUGAGGAUGAACAACCACAUUGGAACUGAGAAACGGUCCAGACUCUAAUAAGAGGCAGCAGUGAGGAAUUUUGGGCAAUGAGCGAAAGCUUGACCCAGCUAAACCAUAUGUGUGAUUGACAAUAUAUAAUUGUAAAACACUUUAUUUAAAUUUAAAUGAUGAUUAAUUUAAAAAAAAGUCCUGGCUAAUUUCGUGCCAGCAGCCGCGGUAAA
Molecule: ribosomal RNA, 417 nt
Filed under: uncultured bacterium
Lineage: Bacteria
Description: partial 16S ribosomal RNA
Rfam family: Bacterial small subunit ribosomal RNA
Source: RNAcentral